UUUAGAUAUUGUGAGAUGACUCA
Molecule: non-coding RNA, 23 nt
Filed under: Arabidopsis thaliana (thale cress)
Lineage: Eukaryota; Viridiplantae; Streptophyta; Magnoliopsida; Brassicales; Brassicaceae
Source: RNAcentral